This 342-nucleotide ribosomal RNA is filed under the name Picus awokera. Its description in RNAcentral is "partial 12S rRNA". It matches the Rfam family "Microsporidia small subunit ribosomal RNA", at positions 771 to 1199 of the family's 1311-position model. The record is from RNAcentral. Lineage: Eukaryota; Metazoa; Chordata; Aves; Piciformes; Picidae.
UUAAAACCCUAAGGACUUGGCGGUGUCCCAAACCCACCUAGAGGAGCCUGUUCUAUAAUCGAUAACCCACGCUACACCCGACCCCCCCUUGCCCCAAGCAGCCUAUAUACCGCCGUCGCCAGCCCACCUCCCCUGAGAGCUUAACAGUGAGCACAACAGCCCCACCCGCUAGAAAGACAGGUCAAGGUACAGCCCAUGGGGGGGAAGAAAUGGGCUACAUUUUCUGACACAGACAACCAACGAAAGAGAGCCUGAAAUAACUCUCAGAAGGCGGAUUUAGCAGUAAAACAUAAUCAUCACGAUUGUCUUAAGCUGGCCCUGGGACACGUACAUACCGCCCGU